This 73-nucleotide transfer RNA is filed under the name Felis catus (domestic cat). It matches the Rfam family "tRNA". Rfam says of the family: Transfer RNA (tRNA) molecules are approximately 80 nucleotides in length. Their secondary structure includes four short double-helical elements and three loops (D, anti-codon, and T loops). Further hydrogen bonds mediate the characteristic L-shaped molecular structure. tRNAs have two regions of fundamental functional importance: the anti-codon, which is responsible for specific mRNA codon recognition, and the 3' end, to which the tRNAs corresponding amino acid is attached (by aminoacyl-tRNA synthetases). tRNAs cope with the degeneracy of the genetic code in two manners: having more than one tRNA (with a specific anti-codon) for a particular amino acid; and 'wobble' base-pairing, i.e. permitting non-standard base-pairing at the 3rd anti-codon position. The record is from Rfam by way of RNAcentral. Lineage: Eukaryota; Metazoa; Chordata; Mammalia; Carnivora; Felidae.
ACCUGGCUGGCUCAGUUGGUAGAGCAUGCAACUCUUGAUCUCAGGUUUGUGAGUUUAAGCCUCACAUUAGGUG